This 1468-nucleotide ribosomal RNA is filed under the name uncultured Bordetella sp. RNAcentral describes it as "partial 16S-23S ribosomal RNA intergenic spacer". It matches the Rfam family "Bacterial small subunit ribosomal RNA". The record is from RNAcentral. Lineage: Bacteria; Pseudomonadati; Pseudomonadota; Betaproteobacteria; Burkholderiales; Alcaligenaceae.
GGUUCGAUCUCUGGCUCAGAUUGAACGCUGGCGGGAUGCUUUACACAUGCAAGUCGAACGGCAGCACGGACUUCGGUCUGGUGGCGAGUGGCGAACGGGUGAGUAAUGUAUCGGAACGUGCCUAGUAGCGGGGGAUAACUACGCGAAAGCAGCUAAUACCGCAUACGGCCUCUUCGGGAAAGCGGGGACCUUUCGGGCCUCGCACUAUUAGAGCGGCUGAUAUCGGAUCAUUAGCUAGUUGUAGGGGGUAACGGCUCACCAAGGCGACGAUCCGUAGCUGGUUUGAGAGGACGACCAGCCACACUGGGACUGAGAUACUUGGCCUAGACUCCUACGGGAGGCAGCAGUGGGGAAUUUUGACAAUGGGGAAACCCUGAUCCAGCCAUCCGGCGUGUGCGACGAAGGCCUUCGGGUUGUAAAGCACUUUGGCAGGAAAGAAACGGCACGGAUAAUACCCCGUGCAACUGACGGUACCUGCAGAAUAAGCACCGGCUAACUACGUGCCAGCAGCCGCGGUAAUACGUAGGGUGCAAGCGUUAAUCGGAAUUACUGGGCGUAAAGCGUGCGCAGGCGGUUCGGAAAUAUGAUGUGAAAUCCCAGAGCUUAAUUUUGGAACUGCAUUUUUAACUACCGAGCUAGAGUGUGUCAGAGGGAGGUGGACCCGCGUGUAGCAGUGAAAUGCGUAGAUAUGCGGAGGAACACCGAUGGCGAAGGCAGCUCUCUGGGAUAACACUGACGCUCAUGCACGAAAGCGUGGGGAGCAAACAGGAUUAGAUACCCUGGUAGUCCACGCCCCAAACGAUGUCAACUAGCUGUUGGGGCCUUCGUGGGGCUCAGCGCAGCUAACGCGUGAAGUUGACCGCCUGGGGAGUACGGUCGCAAGAUUAAACUCAAAGCGAAUUGACGGGACCCGCACAAGCGGUGGAUGAUGUGGAUUAAUUCGAUGCAACGCGAAAAACCUUACCUACCCUUGACAUGUCUGGAAUCCCGAAGAGAUUUGGGAGUGCUCGCAAGAGAACCGGAACACAGGUGCUGCAUGGCUGCUGUCAGCUCGUGUCGGGAGAUGUUGGGUUAAGUCCUGCAACGAGCGCAACCCUUGCUGAAGGAAAGGGCACUCUAAUGAGACUGCCGGUGACAAACCGGAGGAAGGUGGGGAUGACGUCAAGUCCGCAUGGCCCUUAUGGUAGGGCUUCACACGUCAUACAAUGGUCGGGACAGAGGGUCGCCAACCCGAGGGGGAGCCAAUCCCAGAAACCCGAUCGUAGUCCGGAUCGCAGUCUGCAACUCGACUGCGUGAAGUCGGAAUCGCUAUAAUCGCGGAUCAGCAUGUCGCGGUGAAUACGUUCCCGGCCCUACACACCGCCCGUCACACCAUGGGAGGGGUUUUACCAGAAGUAGUUAGCCUAACCGUAAGGAGGGCGAUUACCACGGUAGGAUUCAUGACUGGGGUGAAGUCGUAACAAGGUAG